GCCUGGGAGCGGCGCUGGGACCCGUCCGGAGGCGCUGGCAUCGCCCCAAAGCUCCCCGAGACCUGGCUGCGGACAGCAGCUUCCCAGUGGCUCUGCAGUGACAGGGAAAGGCCAGCGACCCGCAGGUGGGACUGGACAGUGACAGGGAGAAGGUGCAGAGCCCC
Molecule: non-coding RNA, 164 nt
Organism: Lonchura striata (white-rumped munia)
Lineage: Eukaryota; Metazoa; Chordata; Aves; Passeriformes; Estrildidae
Source: RefSeq, a predicted model, not a curated record